ACAUAAGAACCUUACAUGUUGCAUACACCGUUUCUCGUACGAUCACCAAAGUUAAGCAACAUCGGGCGUGGUUAGUACCUGGAUGGGUGACCACCUAUAAAAGUUUAGACAUAGGAA
Molecule: ribosomal RNA, 117 nt
Filed under: Rhodnius prolixus
Lineage: Eukaryota; Metazoa; Arthropoda; Insecta; Hemiptera; Reduviidae
Source: RNAcentral